RNAcentral lists this ribosomal RNA (527 nucleotides) under Ceratopus crassipes. RNAcentral's name for it is "partial 28S ribosomal RNA". It matches the Rfam family "Eukaryotic large subunit ribosomal RNA", at positions 667 to 1145 of the family's 3401-position model. The record is from RNAcentral. Lineage: Eukaryota; Metazoa; Arthropoda; Insecta; Coleoptera; Curculionidae.
CAAGGAGUCUAGCAUGUGCGCGAGUCAUUGGGAAUCACUAAACCUAAAGGCGCAAUGAAAGUGAAGGUCUUCCUUGCGAAGACCGAGGGAAGACGGGCGGUUUACCCUUAAAAGUGGCCGCUCCGCAUUCCCGGGGCGUCUCGUUCUCAUUGCGAGAAGAGGCGCACCAAGAGCGUACACGCUGGGACCCGAAAGAUGGUGAACUAUGCCUGGUCAGGACGAAGUCAGGGGAAACCCUGAUGGAGGUCCGUAGCGAUUCUGACGUGCAAAUCGAUCGUCGGAACUGGGUAUAGGGGCGAAAGACUAAUCGAACCAUCUAGUAGCUGGUUCCCUCCGAAGUUUCCCUCAGGAUAGCUGGCGCUCGUUGCGCACGAGUCUCAUCCGGUAAAGCGAAUGAUUAGAGGCAUUGGGGUCGAAACGACCUCAACCUAUUCUCAAACUUUAAAUGGGUGAGAUCUCCGGCUUGCUCGAACUUAUGAAGCCGCGAGACACGGAUCAGAGUGCCAAGUGGGCCAUUUUUGGUAAGC